GCAGCUCCCGCGCCACCACCACCACCACCGCCGAGAGGAAAGAAAUAUCGCCACCGCCGCCGCCGCUCAUCCCGGGCGAGCCGCCAUGGCCGGCGAUGAUGAGAUCUUCUCCACGCUGAACCUCAUCGAGCACCACCUCCUCGGCGACGCCUUCCUCUCCCCUGGCCCAGCACCGUCCGUCGGCGCCACCUCCUCCUUCUUCCUCGCUCCUCUUCCGGCGGCCACCAACUCCGGCCUGGCGGGCUCUUCCUACUCCUACGCCGCCUCCUCCUCCACUUCCGGGGGGUCUCCGUCGGUGGCCGGCGACGCCGUCGAUGACUUCCUGGAGGAGGACCCCUUCGGGGAGUCCAAGUCCAAUUCAGCAUCGUCCUCCUCUUCGAUCUCAUCUGGAAAGCCGUCGCUGAUCAUCUCCAGGCCGGCAGUUCCCAAAGUAGAGUGGACAGCGGCAGCGCCGGGGGAGUACUACGAGGAGGCGGCGCCGCCGGUGGGGGGCAGCGAUCUGGGAGACUGCCGGGGCUACCGGGGAGUCCGGCGCCGGCCGUGGGGGAAGUUCGCGGCUGAGAUUAGGGACCCGAAGCGGCGGGGCUCCAGGGUCUGGCUGGGGACCUAUGACACGGCGGUGGAGGCCGCCCGCGCCUACGACCGCGCUGCCUUCCAGAUGAGGGGCAGCAAGGCCAUCCUCAAUUUCCC
RNAcentral lists this long non-coding RNA (690 nucleotides) under Spirodela polyrhiza (greater duckweed). Its description in RNAcentral is "long non-coding RNA (SPOL_LNC001011)". Lineage: Eukaryota; Viridiplantae; Streptophyta; Magnoliopsida; Alismatales; Araceae. The record is from RNAcentral.